This 490-nucleotide ribosomal RNA is filed under the name uncultured bacterium. RNAcentral describes it as "partial 16S ribosomal RNA". It matches the Rfam family "Bacterial small subunit ribosomal RNA", at positions 30 to 507 of the family's 1533-position model. The record is from RNAcentral.
AUUGAACGCUGGCGGCAGGCCUAACACAUGCAAGUCGAACGGUAACAGGAAGCAGCUUGCUGCUUUGCUGACGAGUGGCGGACGGGUGAGUAAUGUCUGGGAAACUGCCUGAUGGGGGGGGAUAACUACUGGAAACGGUAGCUAAUACCGCAUAACGUCGCAAGACCAAAGAGGGGGACCUUCGGGCCUCUUGCCAUCCGAUGUGCCCAGAUGGGAUUAGCUAGUAGGUGGGGUAACGGCUCACCUAGGCGACGAUCCCUAGCUGGUCUGAGAGGAUGACCAGCCACACUGGAACUGAGACACGGUCCAGACUCCUACGGGAGGCAGCAGUGGGGAAUAUUGCACAAUGGGCGCAAGCCUGAUGCAGCCAUGCCGCGUGUAUGAAGAAGGCCUUCGGGUUGUAAAGUACUUUCAGCGGGGAGGAAGGGAGUAAAGUUAAUACCUUUGCUCAUUGACGUUACCCGCAGAAGAAGCACCGGCUAACUCCGUG